GACAGUGUCCAGUGUCUGGUGUUUCAGAGGGGAUGAACAGAACAGUAUUGAAAGAUUGCUGCUGGCCAGAUUCUGGUAUGAACCCUGGCAGAAAUCUGAGGAGGGUGGUAUGUGACCCUGUGUACCCCUCUACCCAAGUUACCACAGGAAGACAUGGUGCCAGGUGCCAAGUAAGCUGUGCUGAUUACCUCAAGCAGAGAAAUGCCAGGAGGAAAAUGUGCUACGCAACAUGAUGUCAACAACUUACAAAGACUGAUGUUUCAGGGAAGGAAAUAGUCAUUUGGUUAUUCCUGCAAAAUGCCUCUCAGGAGUAACAAUUAUGCAAGCCAAUGGUUUUCUCGUGUUUCUCACAUUUCCUAUGUCACUCUGGGUUGAUCAAGUACAGCAUUCUGAUUCAAAUUUUCAUCCCAGAAUCCAGCCAGAUAAUUCAGCGGGGGGCAGGAAACUGCUCUGAGGGAAGCUGGUGAGAGGAAUGCUUUCCCCUCUGGGUCUUCAGGAGAGCCACAAAACAACCAUUGCUUCAAUCUAAUGGCUCAACUAAUUGCCACGGUCCUCCUAGUCCUCUCUUCUGGCCUCCAGAAGAACUGGAUUUGGAGAGGGAAGACAAGACCAGAGAUUUCAUGUAGCAGGACAUCUUCUGGUUUUGGGCCUCCCCCAUUUCACAGCAUUCAAAUCCCCUUAUAGGAGCUUGGUUCUGUUUAAGGGGUGUGCAACCUGUGUGAGGCCUCCCAAAACUUGCGACUUUCCUGUGCAAGGAACCCAACCAGGGAUGAGACUUUUUGUUUUGCUUUGUUUUUGCUGAAACAUGUUAAGAAGAUGAACUCAUAAAAACGGCAGCACGGCCAUACUGGGUCACACAAAUUGUCCAUCAAGCCCAGUCCCCUGUUUCCUGAUAGUGCCAAAGCCAGGUGCUUCAGAGGGAAUGACUAGAACAGUUAAUCAUCACAUGAUCCAUCCCAGUCACCCAUGGGCAAAGAGAGGCCACCCACUGGCAGAGGGGCUGACAGCCUUGCUGGGCCCCUGGGCAAGGUAGGGGAGGGAGGGA
Non-coding RNA from Pelodiscus sinensis (Chinese soft-shelled turtle), 1045 nucleotides. NCBI's taxonomy places the organism in Eukaryota, Metazoa, Chordata, Testudines, Trionychidae. The record is from RefSeq and is a predicted model, not a curated record.